Molecule: ribosomal RNA, 587 nt
Filed under: uncultured bacterium
Lineage: Bacteria
Description: partial 16S ribosomal RNA
Rfam family: Bacterial small subunit ribosomal RNA
Source: RNAcentral
UGGGGAAUUUUGGACAAUGGGCGAAAGCCUGAUCCAGCAAUGCCGCGUGUGUGAAGAAGGCCUUCGGGUUGUAAAGCACUUUUGUCCGGAAAGAAAUCCUCUGGGUUAAUACCUCGGGGGGAUGACGGUACCGGAAGAAUAAGCACCGGCUAACUACGUGCCAGCAGCCGCGGUAAUACGUAGGGUGCAAGCGUUAAUCGGAAUUACUGGGCGUAAAGCGUGCGCAGGCGGUUUUGUAAGACGGAUGUGAAAUCCCCGGGGCUUAACCUGGGAACUGCAUUCGUGACUGCAAGGCUAGAGUAUGGCAGAGGGGGGUAGAAUUCCACGUGUAGCAGUGAAAUGCGUAGAGAUGUGGAGGAAUACCGAUGGCGAAGGCAGCCCCCUGGGCCAAUACUGACGCUCAUGCACGAAAGCGUGGGGAGCAAACAGGAUUAGAUACCCUGGUAGUCCACGCCCUAAAACGAUGUCAACUAGUUGUUGGGGAUUCAUUUCCUUAGUAACGUAGCUAACGCGUGAAGUUGACCGCCUGGGGAGUACGGUCGCAAGAUUAAAACUUAAAGGAAUUGACGGGGUCAUAGCUGUUUCCU